Molecule: non-coding RNA, 78 nt
Organism: Cyanobacterium aponinum PCC 10605
Lineage: Bacteria; Bacillati; Cyanobacteriota; Cyanophyceae; Chroococcales; Geminocystaceae
Source: Rfam
AGGAGCUGUAUGCGGUGAAAGUCGCACGUACAGUUUUGAAGCAGAGUGCGAGAAGGUGACUUCUCGUUCGACUGUAAC